GUCCACGCCGUAAACGAUGAAUACUAGUUAUUGGGGGUAUUGACUCCCUCAGUGACGCAGCUAACGCAUUAAGUAUUCCGCCUGGGGAGUACGGUCGCAAGACUAAAACUCAAACAAAUUGACGGGGGCCCGCACAAGCGGUGGAUUAUGUGGUUUAAUUCGAAGCAACGCGCAGAACCUUACCUAGGCUUGAACUCCUACGAAUCCGGCGUAAUGGCUGGAGUGUCCGCAAGGAAAUGUAGUGAGAGGUGCUGCAUGGCUGUCGU
This 266-nucleotide ribosomal RNA is filed under the name uncultured bacterium. RNAcentral's name for it is "partial 16S ribosomal RNA". It matches the Rfam family "Bacterial small subunit ribosomal RNA", at positions 793 to 1055 of the family's 1533-position model. The record is from RNAcentral.